This 429-nucleotide ribosomal RNA is filed under the name uncultured archaeon. Its description in RNAcentral is "bacterial SSU rRNA". It matches the Rfam family "Archaeal small subunit ribosomal RNA", at positions 474 to 903 of the family's 1478-position model. The record is from RNAcentral.
CACCAGCCCCUCGAGUGGUGGGGAUGAUUAUUUGGCCUAAAGCGUCCGUAGCCGGCCAGGUAAGUUUCCCGUUAAAUCCAACGUCUCAAGCGUUGGACUGCGGGAAAUACUACUUGGCUAGAGAGUGGGAGAGGUGUACGGUAUUCUGGGGGUAGGGGCGAAAUCCUUUGAUCCCCGGAGGACCACCAGUGGCGAAGGCUGUACACUAGAACACGUCUGACGGUCAGGGACGAAAGCUGGGGUAGCGAACCGGAUUAGAUACCCGGGUAGUCCCAGCUGUAAACGAUGCAUGCUAGGUGUUGGGUUGGCCACGAGCCACCCCAGUGCCGCAGGGAAGCCGUUAAGCAUGCCGCCUGGGAAGUACGAUCGCAAGAUUGAAACUUAAAGGAAUUGGCGGGGGAGCACCACCAGGCGUGAAGCCUGCGGUUU